CGGGACACGUGGUAUCCUGUCUGAAUAUGGGGGGACCAUCCUCCAAGGCUAAAUACUCCUGACUGACCGAUAGUGAACCAGUACCGUGAGGGAAAGGCGAAAAGAACCCCGGCGAGGGGAGUGAAAAAGAACCUGAAACCGUGUACGUACAAGCAGUGGGAGCACGCUUAGGCGUGUGACUGCGUACCUUUUGUAUAAUGGGUCAGCGACUUAUAUUCUGUAGCAAGGUUAACCGAAUAGGGGAGCCGAAGGGAAACCGAGUCUUAACUGGGCGUUAAGUUGCAGGGUAUAGACCCGAAACCCGGUGAUCUAGCCAUGGGCAGGUUGAAGGUUGGGUAACACUAACUGGAGGACCGAACCGACUAAUGUUGAAAAAUUAGCGGAUGACUUGUGGCUGGGGGUGAAAGGCCAAUCAAACCGGGAGAUAGCUGGUUCUCCCCGAAAGCUAUUUAGGUAGCGCCUCGUGAAUUCAUCUCCGGGGGUAGAGCACUGUUUCGGCAAGGGGGUCAUCCCGACUUACCAACCCGAUGCAAACUGCGAAUACCGGAGAAUGUUAUCACGGGAGACACACGGCGGGUGCUAACGUCCGUCGUGAAGAGGGAAACAACCCAGACCGCCAGCUAAGGUCCCAAAGUCAUGGUUAAGUGGGAAACGAUGUGGGAAGGCCCAGACAGCCAGGAUGUUGGCUUAGAAGCAGCCAUCAUUUAAAGAAAGCGUAAUAGCUCACUGGUCGAGUCGGCCUGCGCGGAAGAUGUAACGGGGCUAAACCAUGCACCGAAGCUGCGGCAGCGACGCUGAUGCGUUGUUGGGUAGGGGAGCGUUCUGUAAGCCUGUGAAGGUGUGCUGUGAGGCAUGCUGGAGGUAUCAGAAGUGCGAAUGCUGACAUAAGUAACGAUAAAGCGGGUGAAAAGCCCGCUCGCCGGAAGACCAAGGGUUCCUGUCCAACGUUAAUCGGGGCAGGGUGAGUCGACCCCUAAGGCGAGGCCGAAAGGCGUAGUCGAUGGGAAACAGGUUAAUAUUCCUGUACUUGGUGUUACUGCGAAGGGGGGACGGAGAAGGCUAUGUUGGCCGGGCGACGGUUGUCCCGGUUUAAGCGUGUAGGCUGGUUUUCCAGGCAAAUCCGGAAAAUCAAGGCUGAGGCGUGAUGACGAGGCACUACGGUGCUGAAGCAACAAAUGCCCUGCUUCCAGGAAAAGCCUCUAAGCAUCAGGUAACAUCAAAUCGUACCCCAAACCGACACAGGUGGUCAGGUAGAGAAUACCAAGGCGCUUGAGAGAACUCGGGUGAAGGAACUAGGCAAAAUGGUGCCGUAACUUCGGGAGAAGGCACGCUGAUAUGUAGGUGAAGCGACUUGCUCGUGGAGCUGAAAUCAGUCGAAGAUACCAGCUGGCUGCAACUGUUUAUUAAAAACACAGCACUGUGCAAACACGAAAGUGGACGUAUACGGUGUGACGCCUGCCCGGUGCCGGAAGGUUAAUUGAUGGGGUCAGCGCAAGCGAAGCUCUUGAUCGAAGCCCCGGUAAACGGCGGCCGUAACUAUAACGGUCCUAAGGUAGCGAAAUUCCUUGUCGGGUAAGUUCCGACCUGCACGAAUGGCGUAAUGAUGGCCAGGCUGUCUCCACCCGAGACUCAGUGAAAUUGAACUCGCUGUGAAGAUGCAGUGUACCCGCGGCAAGACGGAAAGACCCCGUGAACCUUUACUAUAGCUUGACACUGAACAUUGAGCCUUGAUGUGUAGGAUAGGUGGGAGGCUUUGAAGUGUGGACGCCAGUCUGCAUGGAGCCGGCCUUGAAAUACCACCCUUUAAUGUUUGAUGUUCUAACGUUGACCCGUGAUCCGGGUUGCGGACAGUGUCUGGUGGGUAGUUUGACUGGGGCGGUCUCCUCCUAAAGAGUAACGGAGGAGCACGAAGGUUGGCUAAUCCUGGUCGGACAUCAGGAGGUUAGUGCAAUGGCAUAAGCCAGCUUGACUGCGAGCGUGACGGCGCGAGCAGGUGCGAAAGCAGGUCAUAGUGAUCCGGUGGUUCUGAAUGGAAGGGCCAUCGCUCAACGGAUAAAAGGUACUCCGGGGAUAACAGGCUGAUACCGCCCAAGAGUUCAUAUCGACGGCGGUGUUUGGCACCUCGAUGUCGGCUCAUCACAUCCUGGGGCUGAAGUAGGUCCCAAGGGUAUGGCUGUUCGCCAUUUAAAGUGGUACGCGAGCUGGGUUUAGAACGUCGUGAGACAGUUCGGUCCCUAUCUGCCGUGGGCGCU
Molecule: ribosomal RNA, 2252 nt
Filed under: Escherichia coli
Lineage: Bacteria; Pseudomonadati; Pseudomonadota; Gammaproteobacteria; Enterobacterales; Enterobacteriaceae
Description: partial 23S ribosomal RNA
Rfam family: Bacterial large subunit ribosomal RNA
Source: RNAcentral